This 64-nucleotide transfer RNA is filed under the name Triticum aestivum (bread wheat). It matches the Rfam family "tRNA". Rfam says of the family: Transfer RNA (tRNA) molecules are approximately 80 nucleotides in length. Their secondary structure includes four short double-helical elements and three loops (D, anti-codon, and T loops). The record is from Rfam by way of RNAcentral. Lineage: Eukaryota; Viridiplantae; Streptophyta; Magnoliopsida; Poales; Poaceae. RNAcentral also lists the same sequence under 1 other name.
GGGGACGUAGCUCAUAUGGUAGAGCGCAUGCGAGAGGCACGGGGUUCGAUUCCCUGCGUCUCCA